Molecule: ribosomal RNA, 459 nt
Filed under: uncultured bacterium
Lineage: Bacteria
Description: partial 16S ribosomal RNA
Rfam family: Bacterial small subunit ribosomal RNA
Source: RNAcentral
CCUACGGGAGGCAGCAGUGAGGAAUAUUGGUCAAUGGUCGGGAGACUGAACCAGCCAAGCCGCGUGAGGGAUGAAGGUACAGAGUAUCGUAAACCUCUUUUGUCAGGGAACAAAGGCGGGGACGCGUCCCCGGAUGAGUGUACCUGAAGAAAAAGCAUCGGCUAACUCCGUGCCAGCAGCCGCGGUAAUACGGAGGAUGCGAGCGUUAUCCGGAUUUAUUGGGGUUAACGGGUGCGCAGGCGGUCUGUUAAGUCAGCGGUCAAACCCCGGGGCUCAACCCCGGCCCGCCGUUGAAACUGGCAGUCUCGAGUUGGAGAGAAGUAUGCGGAAUGCGCGGUGUAGCGGUGAAAUGCAUAGAUAUCGCGCAGAACUCCGAUUGCGAAGGCAGCAUGCCGGCUCCACACUGACGCUGAGGCACGAAAGCGUGGGUAUCGAACAGGAUUAGAUACCCUUGUAGUC